RNAcentral lists this ribosomal RNA (400 nucleotides) under uncultured bacterium. RNAcentral describes it as "bacterial SSU rRNA". It matches the Rfam family "Bacterial small subunit ribosomal RNA", at positions 355 to 772 of the family's 1533-position model. The record is from RNAcentral.
UAAGGAAUAUUGCACAAUGGGGGAAACCCUGAUGCAGCCAUGCCGCGUGAGUGAAGAAGGCCUUCGGGUUGUAAAGCUCUUUCAGGUGGGAUUAUUAUGAACGUACCACCAGAAGAAGCCCCGGCUAACUCCGUGCCAGCAGCCGCGGUAAUACGGAGGGGGCGAGCGUUGUUCGGAAUCACUGGGCGUAAAGCGUGCGUAGGCGGUUUUGUAAGUCAGAAGUGAAAGCCUAGGGCUUAACCCUAGAACUGCUUUUGAAACUACAUCACUAGAGUCCCGGAGGGGUCAAUGGAAUUCCGAGUGUAGCAGUGAAAUGCGCAGAUAUUCGGAGGAACACCAGUGGCGAAGGCGAUUGGCUGGACGGGAACUGACGCUGAGGCACGAAAGCGUGGGGAGCAAA